Molecule: transfer RNA, 85 nt
Filed under: Chloroflexota bacterium
Lineage: Bacteria; Bacillati; Chloroflexota
Also listed under: 1 other name
Description: Chloroflexi bacterium tRNA-Leu
Rfam family: tRNA
About the family: Transfer RNA (tRNA) molecules are approximately 80 nucleotides in length. Their secondary structure includes four short double-helical elements and three loops (D, anti-codon, and T loops).
Source: RNAcentral
GGGGAAGUGUCGGAACUGGUAGACGAGCGUGACUUAGGAUCACGUGCCAAUAGGCGUAGGGGUUCGAGUCCCCUCUUCCCCACCA